AUGGCGGCCGAGGAGCCGGCGGAGGAGCCGCCCGAGGAGCUGGCGCACGCCGAGGUGCUGGAGCUGUUCCAGGCGGCGCUGGCGCGGCUGGUGCAGGACCCGCUGCUCUGCGACCUGCCCCCGCAGGUGACGGCGGAGGAGAUCGGCUCGCAGGUGGCCCUGGAGUACGGGCAGGCCAUGACGGUGCGGGUGUGCAAGGCGGACGGCGAGAUCGUGCCCGUGGUGGUGGUGCAGAACGCCUCGGUGCUGGAGCUGAAGAAGGCGCUGCGGCGGCACAUGCAGCUGAGGCAGGCCCGGCAGGGCGGAGUGCAGCACCUGAGCUGGAAAUACAUCUGGAGGACGUACCACCUCACCUACAAUGGAGAGAAGCUGGCGGAUGACAGGAAGAAGCUGAGAGAGUAUGGCAUCAGGAACCGGGAUGAGGUCAGCUUCAUAAAGAAGCUGCGCAAGUAACCUGUGGGGUAAGUCCCAGAUGUCCAUUAGGAACUGCCAGUUCCCCAUCUUCCCCAGGCCAUGGUGGUGAGGCUCAGAGCUGCUGCUGCUGCUGCUCUCUGUUGGCUGGCAGAGGAUUUCUGAAUGUCUGCAGGAGGCUGGGGUCUGUUUCCAGAUCCUGGUAGUGUUGGCUGUGCUCCUUGGGCAGGGAAUGGUAACUCAGCUACUUCAGGUGACAGACACUGGGAGCAGCAGCAAUAACUGACUCUAUGUUUAGACUCUCAAUCUGCUUCUACAUUGUCUUGAGACUCUUUAAACACAGUGUUCCUUUGCUGCUUCUAGGACUUGCUUUCUUUUAGGCUUUUUAAAUGUCUGGAAAUCAUUGUCAUCAGCCAGGAUCAUGGCUGGGUUUCUAACUCAUGCAGACAUAAUUCUGGUAUUAAUACUGCUGUUAUGAGAAAGUUGUGCACACAAACACAAGAUGUGGCCAAGACUCUCAGGCUUAGUAAGUUUUAAAUUAUGUUUUUAAAAGCAAUCCCAGUGGCUGAAGAACAGGGUAAGAGCAGCUUGUCCAAAGCCUUGUGUUGUUAUGCUGCUCCAGGUAGCUGGGUUAAAAACUGUUCUUUUUUGACCACAGUUACCUUUUAUUCUUCUUUCAACACUGCCAUAUUUUCAAGAUCCAGUGUAAUAAAAUGUGUGCCCUAACAACAGCCACCUGUUCCAGGGCGCCUGUGACCAGCAGUCACCUCUGGCACUGGCUGAUCCCUCCUGGACCAUCAUGGCAGUGUGAGAGAGCAGAGAAUCCAGCCCUACCAAGACUAGACUGUGGAUUCAGCACCUUCCUGGAAGAAAAGGUUGUUCCACUUCAAAGAGGAACAAACUCCAAUGACUGGACAUUCUCACGUUUUUUACAGUUGCUGUUUGUGGUGUUUGCCUCUGAGCUGUAUGUGGAUUCCAGGGAUUAAAGAGACCCUCUAGUUUUC
Molecule: RNA transcript, 1415 nt
Organism: Oenanthe melanoleuca
Lineage: Eukaryota; Metazoa; Chordata; Aves; Passeriformes; Muscicapidae
Gene: SNRNP25
Gene name: small nuclear ribonucleoprotein U11/U12 subunit 25
Exons: 6
Source: RefSeq, a predicted model, not a curated record